GGACCUUUAGCUCAGUUGGUUAGAGCAUCCGGCUCAUAACCGGACGGUCCUGGGUUCGAGUCCCCGAAGGUCCA
The sequence is a transfer RNA, 74 nucleotides long. It matches the Rfam family "tRNA". From Rfam's summary of the family: Transfer RNA (tRNA) molecules are approximately 80 nucleotides in length. Their secondary structure includes four short double-helical elements and three loops (D, anti-codon, and T loops). The record is from Rfam.